This 250-nucleotide ribosomal RNA is filed under the name uncultured prokaryote. RNAcentral's name for it is "partial 16S ribosomal RNA". It matches the Rfam family "Bacterial small subunit ribosomal RNA", at positions 524 to 774 of the family's 1533-position model. The record is from RNAcentral.
UACGUAGGGGGCGAGCGUUAUCCGGAUUUAUUGGGCGUAAAGAGUUCGUAGGCGGUUUGUUAAGUCUGUGAUUUAAGGCUGGGGCUUAACUCCAGUUCGUUGUAGAAACUGGCAAACUUGAGUGUGGUAGAGGCAAACGGAAUUUCUAGUGUAGCGGUUAAAUGCGUAGAUAUUAGAAGGAACACCAGUGGCGAAGGCGGUUUGCUGGGCCAUUACUGACGCUGAGGAACGAAAGCGUGGGGAGCAAAUA